CUUCGUGCUGCUGUUCUCUGGGUGGACCCGGACGUGACACCAAACAGCAGCUGGAUCGUCACGUGAAAACACAAACCAGCAGACGUAACACCACACGCGACUCCACUCAGUCAGAACACAAGCUAGAAACCUUCCUGCACACGUGUGUGGGCUCGUCUGCACAGACACCUGGGCAAAGCCCCGGCUCUUCAUGGCGUCUGCUUUUGGUGGGAGAAACUGAGUGUCUCAGAGGUGAACAGGUCUACAGUGACGCAAGUGGACGGUCAGUGUAAAAAUCUGCCUUUUCUGCCACCUAGCGUGGCCAUGAGAUCACAAUGACACUUAAAAAGUGCUCUCCCAGAUCUACACAGUUCUGGGAAGACAACGUGAGGUGGGUGACAGCACAGCACACGCCUGGCAGACGCCUGCCAAGCUACCCAGUCUCGAAAUGCAGCUUGAACCUCGUCCACAGGACCCAGAUUCCCUCCCAGAUGGUACAGUGGGGACACAGUUUGUGAUUUCAAGUCUCAUCAAACCCGAAACGAGGGGCAGGGAAGCACCCGGGAGCACUGCCCACCAAGCGACGUCUCAGCACGUGGGGCUAGACAUCACGAUCCCUCACCCCUGCUCAUCAUGACCAAGCAGAGGGCUGUCUUCCCAAGCCGCUCCAGGCACAAGUGUGCAAUCGGAGGCUGCGUUUCUCCAGGACCCAGGACGUCUUGAGGACAGGAAACCACUCAGCCAAGACCACAGUGCUACCCAAAACGACGGGUUUUAAAAACUGCAACACGAUUUUUAACAUCACCUGCAGCCUGCUUCUUCGUGUCAGGUGUGUUGGCGGGGAUUUUCAUCUGAUUUUCAGAAACAUCCUCCUACUUCAGUUUUGGUCCAAGACACUGAAGAACGCGAAAUCUGAGAACGAAGGCAGUAACAGUGCAGAGGCAUUUAUGGGGCCCAGCAGCACCUCCAAUGGAUCACACGAUGAUCUUUAAGAACCCUCUGCUUUCAAAUACCUUACAAGGAUCUUCCCCAAAAUUAUCUUUAUUUGGCUACAAUUGUUAAGUUGAUGAUCAAGUAUGUUAGAAUUCCAACUAAACGUUUUUCCCUGUUUGAUGGAGAAGCAAAAUGGAAGGGUCACACUUCACUACCUGUCACCAAGCGUGACCAUGAGGCCCCAGGCCAGGGGACCAUCUUCCAAGAAGCCUCGGGAGAUACCCGGGCCAUCCCAACACGUUCAAACGGUGGUCAACAGUGCCAAGCUGAGCACAGGGCUCACAUCUUUAUUCUAAGACAGACAGCCCGGAAGCUUCAAGACAAAACAAGCAGAAACAUUUAAACCUCACAGCUUCAGCAAGGACAGGGCGACACAGAAGACGUCAGGCCUGGCCGUCGCCUCCCUCGGGAGUCUGCUCCUCUGGAGCCACGCUGCUGCUGCCACCAGAGGCAGACACGUGAGCCGCCACUGACCCUGUGAGGCAUCAAGGGAGCUGUUUCCGUGCUAAGCAGGUCCGAGUGGUGCCUGCCACUCAUCCCAGCACCAGCGAGCGGCUAACACACGCUCCUGGUGAUUCAAGUGCUGAAGACAGCGACAGGAGGUGGCUGGCGAGCUUGGGUCUCUCUGGGAGGAAGACGGCCAACGGUGUCUGAGGACAGAGUGAGCCUUCCCAUGCACCAGAACCACGGGCCAGCGCCGCAAGCUGGGAGCACAGGCGGACACAGCUCAUCCACUGCCUUUCCAGUAGAGGGCAGAGUGCCUACUCCGGGCCCCGUAGCCCUGCCGGCUUCCAUUAACCAGCAGCAGCUCUGCCGGUGCCCGCCCCACGCGAGCAGGUGCGGCCGUGCGCCAGCGACGCUUCAGAACGGCCCGUGUGAGACUCAAGGACUCGCGCUCUAUUCCCCUCACUCAAUGACAGCAUCAGGGCAAAUCCUCUCACUGCCUCACGUGGGUGGUGUGCCCUCCGAGGCCCACGCGGGCCCCACUUUGUUCCCAGCUCUGUGUCCAGCACAGCACUGUGCUGGGGGGACAGGCACCCAUGGACACCUGCUGAGCUAAGAGCCCGAGGAGGACCAGCGCCCACAAACAGUGCAAGUGAGGUGAACAAAUACCGCUCUUGAGGAUUAGGAAAUGUUUGCAGUAAAACCAGUUUGGGAUUAGAAACUGACAUUUGCUGAAGCCAGUCACAAACCUUUUCCGUUUUAACCCUUUGGACUAUUAAGGAUAGUCAAUAACAUAAUAAGCUGAACUGAUAUGAGCUACGGAAGAUUUUGUGAGGAGAGCAUGGCAGAUAUUUGGCCGAGGUGGUAACCUCAUGUGUCAUUUCUGCUAAGUCAGCUCCACUUGUGACACGUGGAGUGAGGACAGGUGGUGCAGGGGGCAGGCGGAUGGUCCUGAGCCUUUCUGGUGACAAUCUUUCUGCCAGCCUGCCACCCUGACCCCUGCCCACAUGACAGCCGUCUCCAGCUAUGGUGGGCUACAGGACAGAGGGCUUACAAGGAGCCCUGGUCACCUGUAUCCACUGCCCUAUCCCAGUCCCUUGAUUUUCUUCUGGUUAUUUUGAAAACAGCAGACCUCGAAGGUGUGAGAGUGGUGGUCAGGGUCGUGGUUGGGUGCGAGAGAAGCCGGUGGGUCUGCAAAGAGAUGCCAGCUCAGUUCAAAGCAAGGCAGAUGGAAUCAAGUCUCUGUAAGUAUAACCACACUCCCGCCUGCUCCGAGCAGGAGCUGACCAGCCCACGGUCUCACAGAGGAGUGGCAUCUGCCAGCCGCAGGGCAGAGAAGGACGAGAGCCUCUAACGCUGCCAUUCCCAGCCCUCGAUGAUGGUGUGGACUCAGCCAAGGCAGAGGGACAUUGCCAGUGGCAUUGGGGACAGAGAAGGAGAGGAGCAUCCAACCCCCAGGGCAGCGCAGAUGCCAACACCAGCUUCCUCAGGCACCAGCCCCAGGGCUGCGCUCACGUCCAAGUCCCCAGGGCAGGGCCUUGGUCACAGAAGCCCCAGCCAGGGGGUAGCUGGUUACCUGGGCGGACCCUGCCUUUUAUGAGCCCCAGCCAGCACCGUGGCCACGGUUACCUCUGGCCACCUACCUCCUGGCCUCCAGGACCGUCCCGUUCGGGAGACAGUGUGUGCGUCAUAAAAACCACACCCUCGGCAGCUGCUGCCCACCCUGAGAAGCUCGCAGAAUCUCCAUCAGAGAUUCUCCCUGAGCUGCUAGGGGUGGGCUGAACAUGGGCUUUUUCUGAAGAUCCCAGAGACCCUAACUUGCACCCAGGGAUGAACACCCACAGAAUUAACUAUCUGCUACAGCUUGAGCCGUGCCCUCUGAGUUCACGGGUGGAAGCCCGCACACCGGCACGGCUGCCAUUGGAAAUACGGCUUCUGCCAAGGUCAUGAGGGUUCGGUGAGGUCAUGGGGCGGGUCUGAUCCCAUCAGGACCCACAUCCUGGGGAGAUGAGACACCAGAGCUCUCUCUCCCUGCACAGCGAGGGCAACAAGAAGGCACCGCCUGCCAAGCUCCGUGCAAACCUGACAUCACUCCUUCCGUUACCAGGGGGAGUGACUCAGUCCCUCCACAGCUGACACAAGCCUCCCAGGGACGCAGUCUUGGGUCAGGGCCCUGCCCAUACCUUCCGUGUAGCCGCAUGCCUGCGUGAGGGCCUGGCAGUGGGUCAGCAGCGCGAUCCUGGUCACGGUCACCCCGAGCACGCUUCCGUCCUUGCAGGUCUUAUACUGAAAUGAGAUGGGGACGUGCAGAGAGGGGUACAGAGAGGACAACACGGCUGCCCCCGUCAGGCCAAGGUCGGCCCAACUGCUCGAUGCCCGUGGGCAGCGCUGCAACUCACCUCUAUGUACGCGGUAUCGUUGUUCGCAUCUUUGAUGUGUGGGAACCAAUCUCGAGGGGGCUUGGAGAGAUGCUUCGACUCUGUGACAAACCACAGCAGCUUUGGCCAACCUUGCAAACAAACAAACAGACCCCUCUGAGAGGCGUACUACCCAGAAACCAGGCUUGCCACGUCGUUCCCCCUUCCUGUGGCCCAUGUGACACGAGCCAGGGGGGAUCGCCAGUGCUUCCUCAAGCCUCAGACAACGUCAACAGCACGCAUACUGCCGGGUAAACCACGCCACACGGCAGGCUGACAACAGCAGACGUAUUGCGUUCCGUGUGCAGAAGAGCAUGUCCAGGGGAGACGCAGGACCUUCCUGAGUGAAGAGCCAGACCCCCAACUAGGCUUCUGGCUGUGGCUUACCUUUGAACUGGGGGAUCUCCCCGGUUGGGCUUUUCGGCAGCCCUUUGUGGCAGGCGUCGCUCGUCAAGGCCACAGUGACUCCACAGCUUCCAAGCAAGAACCCGAUCUGCUGGCUCCCUGCGUCCUGGGAGAGGUGAAAGACACAGAAGUCACAAAGCCGGGAAGGACGGGUACCCUCCUGGCAAGACGUGGCCUUGUCCCUGGGUUCUGGGACCUCCUGGACUCUGCAGAACUGGGAUCACAGCCCCGGUUGCCGCUUGCUGCUGUGUGACCUCGAACGGGACGGCGAGGUCACUCAGCCUCAGUUUCCUCACCUCUGCCAUGGGGUGAGAGCAGAGCCCUCGAGUGGGUCUGCUGCAAGGAAUAAACUGGAGGAGCAUGGACAGUGCUCAGUGUGCGCCUGGCACAUAGUGGGUCCCUUAAACAGCUGCUGCUACAUCUCCCUCCAGUUCCUUAAGACUAUGACCAUAGAACGUAACCGUCGUGGAGAACAGAAAGGGUUCGUCUUCCUCCGUAACACAGAGCCUGACUUUACUCACAGCACAGGGCCCUGCGGUGUCUGUUGACAUCCACUGUGGGCGGACUAGACGCCUGUUCCCAACCAAAAGGCCUGCCACCCUUGUGCGCCCGGAGUAUGUCUGUGACCAAGGACACAGCCGGACAGGCGCCUCCUGCAGGACUUGGAUGCUGGCGGGCCAGAGCACCGGAAGCCCCAAAUGACCAGCAGUGACUUAGGAGCACGGCAUCCCGCGGACCCCACGGGAUGGAGCUUUCCUCGGAGAGGCGAUCCAGGGGCCGCCAACCUGUGGUUUUGUUGCUGACCACAUCUGGCUGCCCGCAGCAGGUCUGCUCAACCGGCUUUCUUCACCCCCCCCAGUCACACCAGGCAGGAUUUAGAAAAUAAAACGAAAGCCGGCAAGGAGCUGACAUUCCUACAACUGAAACAUCACAACACGGUGAACCGGUCACCCUGGUUUGUUCCCACCGGGCUCUUCCUGAACCCGCGGACAACCCAGCAAGCUUGUGGGCAGACCAGCCCUGCCUUCCGGUCGCUCCGCCCACGUACGCCUCACUAAGCAAGCGCGUGGUGACGGGGUCUCCAGUGGGUAAAAUCAGCAGCACGGAUGUCUUCAAACGAGCCUGUCAAGCAACUGGCUCAUAGUUUAACCCUACGGUGAAAUCCAGGUCUCCUCACUCGGAAUCGCACCGCCAACCUCCCGAUACCCCAUGCAGCGCAGAGAGGCGAGCAGGGGGCUGGCGCCCGACGGACAGGGAUGUUCCCAUUUCAGGACCCUCACGGUACUUGUCCCUCAAGCAAUGCUUUUUCAAGUGGAGUUUUUAAUUCUCACUCCAAUGUGAAUUUGGAGGCCAUGUGGCCAAACAUCGAGACAAGUUCUGAGGUCACGUCUGGUGGCAGGGAGGCAUUUCUUUGUGAGCAGGAAUUCGCUACCUCAGAGCCACAUGAGCCAACAGCUCGGGAGAGUGAGCACGGGUCUGUGGGCUGGGACCUGCCAGGGCCCGCGGCCGUGCCAAGGGCUCGCAACCCAUCUCGGUUUUCCCGGCAGACACCGUCCCUGCGCCCUUUCUACAACCUGCUCGAGACUGAUGUUCAAAGUGACACAUUCACACACACGAGACAGCUGACAUAAGGCAGCAGCAGGGGACAGCAGAUGAGAAGAGUAAUGGACAGAAUGCCACAGUUCAGCCCCAAAUUCAGACCUCACCUCCAAGGGGCUUCUGUCCUCCUCAUCUGGAAAAUUCCUACUUGGAGCGCCAGGCAGCUGUGCAGAAACAGCUCUGCCCACCCAACCCCAGCGGCACAGACGAGACCCCAUCGCCUGCUCCCGAAGAAGCCCGUGUGUCUCCUUCACACGCUGAAGCUGAACGUGCUUGACCCCAGAGCCCAGAGCGGGUGGACACACUCUCAACACCACGUCAGAGCCACGGUCCGCCCCGGGCCCCAUCUCUACAUGGGGGCUCCUGCCCAGCCUGCGGAAAGAGCCGCCUCCAGGCGGCCCGACCUGCCGCUGGCUUCGGGAAGCUGCCGUCCCGUCUCAGGGAGACUGAAUGAAGCCUGUGCACUCUGGCCCCGACUCGGCGCUCCGUGUGCACCUUUCCCAGGGAAGGCCCACACGCCCGGCCCGUGGUCCUCCUCGGUUCGGUUGGGGCUCCACCCUCUCAAGAGCUGUGCUGUCAGGGCAGCCGGUGACCACCUCCCCGGUCACAAAAUCCUGACGACGAUUCUUUCUGGCUCGUCAAGAGAAGCCAGACCGCACCUGACUUCAGCCUGCCACCUCCAACCCUCUUGCAACAGAGAGGUGCCACGUUACGUCGCCUUGUGGGAAGCCUCCCGGUCUCUCUGACGACCCCUGGAGCACCCACCAGGCCAGGCUGGACACGUCCCAACCAGGGUCUGCUCCGCCCCAGCCUCCCAGGCAGGAAGCAGCAAUCUCACACACAGAAGGGUGUAACAAAUGAGAGGACGGCUCACAGAAAAGUCCCUUUCGUGAACUCACUCUGCGUCUGGGGCCCCUCACCACGAGGCUUGUGUUUAUAUCCAAGUUUGUCCUGUGCCAGCUGAGCAGCUCCUUGGCUCUCAGCAGGUGGAGCAGGACAGAAGCGCAAAGGCGUCUCACACACGCACGGUGCUGCUGAUGCCCGUGGCCCACGGGCCGUUGUGUCUCCGGUCCCGUGGUACUUUGGAACACGCACAGUUUGGCCCCUCCUAACAGCCUGCCACUCUCCUGUAAGAUUUGCAUGCCUGAGGCGCAGCCCGUGUCGGCAGAGGGGGACUGUGGGCUGGGCCUGCUCACGGGCCGACAGAGCCUCCCUGCACACAGCCGGCUUGAACCGAAGCGCAGCCGCCUCAGGAGGGCGACAGCGCCAGGCUGUCCUAGCUCUGCUGCGACCCUGCCAGGCCCAUCUCAGGAGGCCCCUGGAGGCUCCCCUCUGGCUCCCCCACACCCCCUGGCCAAAUCAUCCAGGAACUCCAGCCCUUCCUACUGCAAACCCCUCACAGAAAGGGGAGCUUUCUCCUCCCACCCAAGAACUAGGAGGGAGAGUGAAGAAACACACAGGACACUAAAUUGUUCACCCCAUCAAACAACAUUCAGGAUUUAGAAAACGGCUCUCAUUAGGCCCUUCGUGGCAAACCCAGCGGCACAGAACUGGCAGAGGAAGUGUGCGACUCCGUCACCUACGCUUCCGUGCACACCUUACCCCAUGCUGACCUGCAAAGGACCAAUGUGGUCUUCUGUUCAAAACUAAGAAAAGUCUUCCAAGGCACGAAUGUCAUGUUCUGAGCUCAGAGCCCGAGGCCUGGCACGCAGCUUCUGGCUUCACUGAGACAAAGUCAUCUCCCGGUCCUGUUUCCCAGCAGAAAAUGCUCUACGGACGGAGCAACCUAGCAUCUUCUUCUGACAAGUGCCUUCUGGUCCCCUGGUUCAGGCCGAUAACCCGAGGGUCUCCGUGGGCUGGGGAGGUGAGGGCACACCACCUAGCAGGUCGCAGCCUAGAUGCCCAAGACAGCAGGCAGCCCAGUCCCAGCAGGGCCAACACGGCACAGGUAAGACUGUACUCUCCUGCCCACGCCUGUACCAGCAGAGCUCGCUUGUGGGUGCUCACACCUGCACGGACCCUUGCCGAACCACCAGACUUGCCACUAAGAGCUCUCUGCCUCAAAGGGGAUGGUUGGGCCCCAGGGCCUAGGAUAGAACACACCUAAUGACAUCUCCCCUCCCGUUGAUUAUUACUGCAGUAACCUAAUACACAGUUACGAAGGUUUCCAGUACAAUUAAAAUGAACCGCUUACGUGCCUGUCAAACAUCCAAAGGAUACUUAACCUCCUUAUUUAAAUGAAGAAUGUUUAUUCAUUUAAUAUACAUCCAAGUGUGUAUUAAGAAAUGUUAUACGGUGGCACACGUUUGCAUCAGCAGUAUUUGAAAUGACGUGCUUGUGUUGUCACGUGACCCAAAGGGCAGAGGCACGUGUCUCUUUGUUCACGUGAUUUUCCUCUGCAAACCAGCUCUGCUUUGGGAGACAUCAGGCUACAGACUUAAGUAGAAAAAUCUAAACCCUCUAUGUGAUGAGAAGCACAUAAAUAAUAGCAACUGAUCACAUGAGAACAUCACAGAUAUAACCGUCUGGUUAUUGCAGCGCUAAGAACCAGUCUCUGUACGAACAGCAACCUACAAAUUCUUCCAGAUUAUCGUUUUGACACUACUGACGACAGAACUCAGAGGGCUUUGAGCCUUGAAGUCAGGUAACCAGCCCUUUGCGUUUCCAAAAGACCUCAACCCACUGAAUUUAAUAUCAAUUGAAGGAGGAGCGUCAUAUGCCCCGAGUAGGCUUGCAGGUGAACCGUAGUGGAAUUUACCACAGUGCCAAAGAAUCACUUAGAAGAACGUGGCUAUCCAUUCACUCAGUCCCCAAACUCUUCCACAUUUCUCCACUGUGAAUAUCAUAGGACUCGGGGGUGGAGCCUGGAACGCUGGCAGCAAGCACUUGCAAGUAAGCCUUGGACAAAAAACCUGACACCGAUAUGUGGGGUAUGUACAACAUAUGUUUCUUAUUUUCUAAUACACUGUGAGAGCAAGAUUUGGAAUUACAUCUGACAAAUCAUAGUGAACAUGGGACUCAAUCACGUCCAAACACCAAAACGUAAGCAACAACCAACAUUCCCCAAAAUAAAAUCAAAACCCUCUAAUUUAUCCAGAUUUCUAGUGUAAUGACACUGAGGAAUGAGAUAUUCAAACACUUAGUUAUUGACAGAUCACUAGGCUCAGUGUUCUUUUUUCAAAAGGUUCAGAUAUAAUUGACAUAUAACAUUCCAGCAGUUUUAGGUGUAUAAUAUUAUGAUUCAAUAUUUGUAUAUACUGCAAAAUUACCAAUACACAAAAAAAGUUGAGAACUUUUAAGAUUUACUCUCUUGGCAACUUUCAAAUGUGUGUGAAGUAUCGCUGAAUGUAGUCACCAUUGUGACUAUACCCCCAUGACUUCUUUAUUACCGGAAGUUUGUACUUCUUCACUCCCUUCAGCCAUUUCACCCACCCCACAACCACCACCACUGGCAUCCACCGUCUGUUGUGUUUAAGUUCUGGUUGUCCAUUUGUUUUCUUAGAUUCCAUAUUUAAGGGAAAUCACAUGGUGUUUGUCUUUCUCUGACUUACUUCACUUAGCAUAAUACCUUCAGGGUCCCUUCAUGCCGUUGUAAAUGGCAAGAUUUCAUUCUUUUUUAUGGUUGAGUAAUAUUCCGUUGGUA
Prionailurus viverrinus (fishing cat) is the source of this 9480-nucleotide long non-coding RNA. RefSeq lists it as uncharacterized. The record is from RefSeq and is a predicted model, not a curated record. NCBI's taxonomy places the organism in Eukaryota, Metazoa, Chordata, Mammalia, Carnivora, Felidae. The transcript has 3 exons.